CGGACACCCAGCACCGGCGGCUCCGUCCCCACGGCUCCCGGCGGGCACCUCCUCCGCCCCCCGCGUCACCCAGCAGAGCGCAUACGGCUUUCGACUGAAAGAUCUGGAACCGAGGAGAACUCGCAGCCCAGACAAAAGGCUGAUAAGAGCCUCAGUGAAAGAGCACAAGCAGAGUUUCUUCUGUAGCGUGACGCAGUUGCACGGUACCCAAAAUGGCAGCUCCACCCGAUCCCAGAAAAGCGUGGUUUGUGCUCCACGGACAGCAAAACUCUCUGUGGCACUUAUCGGAAGAUAAAGCAAGACUUGCAAGGUACUGCCAAGGCCAGCUGGACAGUAAGGGAUGUGAACAUCCGCACAAGAAGACUAUAAAGAUAUCAUCACCAAGGGAUAAGAAGAAAUUAUGGCUGGGGUCUUGUAACAAUAUUGCUUUGUAACAACCUAAUGAAGUCAGCAAGAACUAAGAAUGUAGUAAUGUUGUAACCUCCCCCUUUUACUGUAUAAA
This is a long non-coding RNA of Calypte anna (Anna's hummingbird), 502 nucleotides long. RefSeq lists it as uncharacterized. The record is from RefSeq and is a predicted model, not a curated record. NCBI's taxonomy places the organism in Eukaryota, Metazoa, Chordata, Aves, Apodiformes, Trochilidae. The transcript has 3 exons.